Harpia harpyja (harpy eagle) is the source of this 805-nucleotide long non-coding RNA. RefSeq lists it as uncharacterized. NCBI's taxonomy places the organism in Eukaryota, Metazoa, Chordata, Aves, Accipitriformes, Accipitridae. The transcript is spliced from 4 exons. The record is from RefSeq and is a predicted model, not a curated record.
UGAUAGCAGCAGCUCUCACAGGCUGGGUGUCUGUACUUAACUAGCAAUAAUUACUGCUUUGUGCUGUCUUAGCCAUCCCUCAAUAGCAAUGGUUUAUUUUCUUGCAUGAAAUCUCACCAGGCUUUUAAAUUGCUUGCAGGAGAAAAGCAUUUCAGUGGCCCGGAGCAUCGUGUGACCGUUCUGCAAAGGGAAGGAGCCUUUACCAUCCAUACUGCACCGAGGAGAGGCUCCCACAGGUGCCCUGCGGUCACAGGGUGAGGGUGGGAGCGCUGGGUGCUCCGUGUCCCAAGGAGCCAGCCCCGUGCAGGCAAAAAAUGGUGCUAAAUCCCAGCGAGAGAAACCUGCCGUGCCAAAAGGGAUGUUUGCACAAGAUACCGCAAGUGCCAGGAGGAGGGCGGCCAAACUGCUUUCAGGUCAGGACAGCAGCGGACGCAUGUUCGUGCUCUCCUAGCUUGCACAGCCCCCUCGCUGCGACGCUGUGAUGGAGGGGCUCGUGGCAGGGGGAAAAGCAGUGGCCCCUUGUCUGGUGGAGGAGGAAUAAGAUGAGGGAUCUGCAGGCAACCAGCAAGUUUUCAAGCCCCGUGGAGCAUCUUUGGUCAGUGUGGAGGGGACCGAAGGCCAUCGCCAUCCAGCCACCUCAAACGUGCAGCCGCCACUCUGAGUUGCCUGUUUGCCCUGUGCCGCUCCAUCACCUUGCAGGGGUUUACAGGGAGCUGAUCCAACUGGCCAGCAGGUUUUCUUUUUUUUUUCUUUUUUUCCCUUCGCUGAUGAAAUCAGCACUUAAUAAAAUCACAUCAGGCCCAGA